RNAcentral lists this long non-coding RNA (2387 nucleotides) under Volvox carteri. RNAcentral's name for it is "long non-coding RNA (VCAR_LNC003041)". Lineage: Eukaryota; Viridiplantae; Chlorophyta; Chlorophyceae; Chlamydomonadales; Volvocaceae. The record is from RNAcentral.
GGCGGCAUCGGCGGCUUCUUCUCGUCGCUAUUUGGUGGCGGCUCUUCUCAGCCCCCACCACCCGCUGCACAGGUGAGCAGCUGGGGGGCUAACUGGCUGGGGGGGUAGCUGGGGGGGCGUAGUGGCUGUGGGGGCGUAGUGGCUGGGGGGGUGGGGGGGUGUGAAACCUGAAGUCCGUACAGGCGGGUACGGCAAGCCCCGGGAACAGGGGGUUUCUGCACGGUGGUCGAUACCCUCAACUUGCUGUCGUACACCUUCCUCCGUGCACCUGUGUUUCAACCAGGUGACGGACCUCUCCGCGGAUCCCUUCCAGCCGCCCCCGCUGCCUAAGGAGUUCGUGAUGCAUGCGGAGGGCGGGGACGGGUCGUUCAAACAACACUGAGCAGCAGCAGCAAUAGCAGUAGCAGCAGUAGCAGCAGUUGCAGCAGCGGGAGGAGGAGGAGGAGGGUGGUGUGGCGAGCGCAGUGGGGGGGUUUAGGGUUUUGGGCUCCGGGGUUGUCAGGGCCGAGUGUGGGGGGUUGUGUUGGGGCCCCUGGGUGGGUGGCGAGGGGGAUAGUAUAGCGGGGUGACGGAAGCGUGUAACGGCGUGUCAGGGGGUGCCCGCUGUUCCGUCCACGGCAGGGGGAGGGAGGAGGGGGGGUCCUGAUGGCCCCGCGGGAAGGGUGCGAGGGAGCUCUUCGGGCGGCCGGGUGACACACCCCCUCCCGCCAAUAGACGCCAUGGGGACGAGGGGAGGGGGAGAGGUGGGAGGGAAGAGAGGGGGAGGCGGGGAGACAGAACCUUCCGAUUUGAACGCGGGUGGGGAAAAGGGUGUCGGCGGGGGGUAUUGCGAAGGGAAAGUGUGGAUGUGUUUAGGAGGCUGGAGAAAGAGAUGUGCGUGUGUGACUUGCGUACCAGGCACUGUGCAAUAGCAGGGAGCAGCCGCAGAGGUAGACAUACAUACACAUUUACAUACAUACCAGGGACAGUGGAGGCGAACGCACUGCCUUGGGCUGCUCUCCUUCAGGGUUGUGUAUGGGAAGGGCUUUUGGGGUCCCCGCCCGGGCGCGGAAGGCGGUGGGUGGUCCUUUUUAUUCCGCCAUGGUGUCCUGGGUGAGUGAGUGUGUGUGUGUGUGUAUGGGGGGAAAUGGGGGGUGACGGAGUGGGGGGAAGGGGCACCCUCUCCCACAUCCAUCACUUGCGCCGGCGCACUUGGGUACUAUGGUGGUUUGAUGAUCCUGGUUCGGUGCAGGCGGUCGAGGAGGAGGCGGGGUGAAUGUGGUGUGGUGUGGUGUGGUGUGGUGUGGUGUAAUGGAAGUGGAGGAAUGGUAAGGUGACGAGGGCCAACUCUCUCCCUUCUCCCUGCAGCUUUCUGAUACCACAGGGGGCCCCAACGGCUGACCGCCGGCGCGGUGCGUGGGGAGGCUGGUGUUGUCCCCAUGCACCCCAUGCACCUCUCCCCCUCCCCCCGCCCCCCCCGGCCCCCCCGGGAUGGGGGCCCCCUCUGUAAGGCGAGACGUGCUUUUCUCUCCCAGCUUGUUGCUGUGUACUCCCUUCCCCGGGGGGUGCGCCUGCAUACAUGGCCACAAUGAUUGCCGCCCAGCCGCACUUAGCCCCCACCAGUUCUCAUGCCAAAGGUCGCAGACGAUAGUUGCUUUUGGGAAUUCGGCAAGGCAUGGCAAGCUCUGGUACAUAAAUACAUACAUACAAACAUACAUACAUAUGAGGAACAGCAGGUGGAGGAGGGAAUCCCUGAUACGUAGGUAUUAUGGCAAAUACUGAUCGUUGGCGGAGUUUGUGUAUCACGCUCCUAGUCGCCUUCUUGGGACCCUCUUGGUGAAUCUAUCGCUUCCAUUAGGUGUGCUACUCCGUCCGUUGUAAUGUUUUGUGGCUUCCCUGACAGAUUAUAGUUCUUUCGUCGGUUGUGUUCGUCGGUCGGCGUAUGUUAGUUCACAUGUUUGCCAUGUGAAUUUAUGUAUCCAUACAUCAAUUGCAUUCGCUGUCGGUAUGUGUUUGAAACUGCGUUUUUUUGGAUUGCUGGGCUGUGUGAUUGCGGAUGAAAUAACGGCAAAGACUGCGAAGCGCUGGUGCGAAUAAUUAACGGAUUCCAACGGGCUAAUGCACUUUAAGAAGCGAUUGACCUGCCUCAUUUGGGCAUAAGACUGCUCAGCUUUCGAGCACGAAAGUUCGACUAGCAAGCAUGAUCAUGGCAAGCAAGCUUGCCUUGUCAUUAAGUCGAGUCGCGUGCCAACAGGUGAUGGACAGCCUUCCACUUUGAGCAUCAAGCAUAACUCUCAGAUGUUUACCUUUUAUCUUUAAGCUUAAAAACAGUAUGCCCGAGGGCUCGCCUUAAAUAUUAAAAACCCAGAAAUUGCCUUUGAAAGCGGUUUGUUCUAACUCCCAAACAU